UUUUUUUUUUUUUUUGUAAUAAACUAGCAUUAAGAGCAUUCAAUUACUAAUACCAAUAUUCUCCAUAGCCGAACUUCAUAAGUGCUGAAUCCACUAUCAAUAUCCAAAUAGAUGGUAAAUGUAGGGAUGACAAUUUAUCCACGGGUAAUGGAUAUUCGCGAAAACUCGAAUUUAUUAAGGUGGAUUUGAAAGACAUUUGAUAUUCACGGAUAGUUUCGUGAUUGCAAUUCAUUAUCCAUUUAGUUCGUGGGCAUGGAUUUGAAUACUUACUAUCCAUACCCGCGAAACCCGUUUACCCGCAAAAAUACCCGUCAAUUACCCGUGAAAUACCCGUCAAUUACCCGUUAAAUUUGUACUAAAUUUAUAAUUAAAUUUUAUUUUGUAGAUAUCCAAUGGAUAGUGGGUGGCGGUUAUCCGACGGAUAGUGAGUGACGAGUAUCCGACGGAUAGUGGGUGAAGGGUAUUCGACAGAUAGCGGGUGGCGGAUACCCGACGAGUAGGGCUGUCAAAAUGGGCCGAAAAUGGCCCGGCCUGAUGGGCCCGCCCGGCCCGCCCGUAGUUUUGGCCGGGCUAGGCUAAGAUUUUCAAGGCCAAAAAAAAAUCGGGCCUCCCUGGCCCGGCCCAUGCGGCCCGCCGGGUCACCCGGCCCGAAGUCCGCCGGGCUUUCGGGCCUAAAUCGGCCCGUCAAUAUAGAAGGUGAAAAUUUCGAAAAUUUAUAUCUCCUCCCAAAUUCCAAUGGACCCAACCCAAUCUAAGUCCAUUUCUUCAAUUGACGACAAUGACGAGUCGAAGUCUAACUUAGGAUUUAAAUUAGCAAUCAACAAUCAAUAUUAAAUUAUUUUUAGGGUUAAAUGCAUGUAAUAUCAUGAACUUAGGCCGAAUUCCAAAUUUUGCACGACUUUAAAAAGUUUCAAUUUAUAUGGGUACCUUUACUCCGUGUUCAAUUUUAGCACCGAUUUAUUUUCCGGCAGAACCACGUGGCAAUGACGUGUCUUCCGGCAGACACAUCAUAAUUUUAUACUCAAAAAGAGAGAGAGAGAGAGAGAGAGAGAGAAAGGCUGAAAUCAGCGGAAGGUAGUGGCGGGUUCGCUGUUGUUGUUCAACCGAAAAUGAAGAGAGUCCGGGCAGAGGCAGUGCCGUGUGUGGCGGCGUUGCGACCAGAAAUUAUGGAAUUGGGGGUAGGGUUUGCAGAGCAGAGGGUGGUGGCGUCGUGACCUGAAAUUCUGGAAUUGGGGGAAAGGUUUGCAGAGCAGAGGGUGGGGGGUGUCGCGACCAGAAAUUUUGGAAUUGGGGGUAGGGUUUGCAGAGCAGAGGGCGGCGAUGGUGUUCAGUGAGGAAUAAGAGAAGUCGCCGGAAUCGUGUCUGUGAGCAGAGGGCGGCGGCGCUCAUCGCCGUUGAAAGAGGAGGAGGUGAGAGGCGUAGGCGGUGGAGAAGGCGGCACGGUGGAGAAGGCGGGGCGGUGGAAGAUGUGGGGGUCGAGGCGGUGGAAGAGAGAGAGGUGGAGAGAGAGAGAGAGCUUGGCUUGCCGGCGGGAAGCUUGUGCCGGCAAGCCACGUCAAUGACACGUAGGAUCGAAGCGUGUGUCGGCAAGCCACGUCAAAAAACUGUGCUAAAAUUGAACACGGAGCAAAGGUAGCCAUAUUAAUUGAAACUUUUUAAAGCCGUGCUAAAUUUAGAAUUCGGCCUAAGUUCAUGAUAUUACAUGCAUUUAACCCUUAUUUUUACUUGAAAGAUUUAUUUAUUUUUGGUGGUUGUUAUUUGAUUCCAGUUGAUUUGAUUACUGUAUUAAUUAAUUUGUGAAUAACUCGUUUUCAGUUUUUGUUGUUUUUGCAAUUAGUUUUUAUUUUUUACUUGUAUUCAUAUUGUUUACAUUUAGUUUUAGUCAUAUUUGUUUACAUUUAAUUUUAGUUAAUUACGUAAUUUAGAUGUAGAUUGUUUAAGGCCCUUUUUGUUUCAUCGAAUUUGUCUUCAAUUUUUUUCUUUAAAUUUGAUUUAAUUUAUUAAUUUUUGGAAUAUAUAUAUAUAGAUAUAUAUAUAUAUAUAUUAAUUUAUCAAUUUUUGGCCCCGUUUUGGCCUGACCCGCCCGACGGCCCAUAUAGGGUCGGGCUGGGCUUCAAUGUUCAAGGCCCGCUGAAAUUUUGGGCCGGCCCGAUCCGGCCCAAAAAAUUGCCUAGGCCCGCUGGGUUGGGCCGGGCCGGCCCGGGCCGCAAGGUUUGACAGCCCUACCGACGAGUAGCGGGUAUCCGUGGGUGACGGGUUUGGAUACCAUUUGAUAUUUAUGGAUAGUUUCGUGGUUAAAAAUCACUAUCCAUUUAGUUCGUGGGUAUGAAUAUGAAUAGUCACUAUCCGUACCCGUCGUACCCCAUUGUCAUCCCUAGGUAAAUGUAGCAUUUCGGAAUUUACCAUAUAUAGAAAAAUCGGACGAGUGAGGAAAAUUGAAUUUAAUAAAAAUUACUCGCAAAGUAAAUGAGUUUUCAUAUUUAUCUAACGCGGGAAAGAAAUUUAAAAUGGGUAAAUUAAUUUUUUUACAUCUCGCAACAGAAGAGAAAUUAUUAGGGUGACGGCAGUGUGCAAUUAAGUUCUAACGAGAAUUUGUCUAGAGUGAAGGUACAAUUCAAUUUUGACAGUUCAUAUAAUUAAAUGCCGUAUCUACAUUAUAUAUUAUUGGAAAAAGGAGUUUCCUGCCAUCCUAUUGGGGUUAUGUAUGAGUAUGAUGAUAAUCGCUUAUUUGUGUGUGUGUAUAUAUAUGAAUGGGAUCCAAAAUAAUUCUCUCCGCAACAAUUCAGAAAUCUAUGCUUUUUUUUAUACAUGUGGUUUCCUGUGAAACCGGUUUUAUGGUGAAAUCGGCUUCACAAUGACACUAUAAAGUGUCAUUUAUAUGUUGAAGUAGUGUCAUUGUGAAGUCGGUUUCACUAUGAAAUUGGUUUCACAUGAUUUUUUGUGUUUUUUAUAUACUCUCUUCGUCCAUGGCAUAUCUUUCUCGCUUAAAUAGACAUAAAUUUUUAAAAAAGUUUAUAUCUAGUGAUUUAGAGAAGGGAUAUCCCACAAAUUAAAAAAAGUAAUAGUUGAUUUAUAUGAGUUCAUUAAGGACAAUAUGUUGUUUAGCUUCGUUGUUUGUUUCGAUUUUCUCCGUUAUGUCCCAUGGCCUUGUUGUUUGUUUGAGCUUAUGGGUUUGUUAGAUUUUUUUUUAUUUCGUCUUCUCGUUCUCUUGAUUUUUAUCAUUUUCAUAUAAUAGAUGAACACUCUUUUUCUUUGAUCGGAGUUUUUCUUAAUAGAUUUUUUUCGGCAAAGUUUUGAUGAGACUUGACCCUUAGUCUGCGUCUUUGUGUAGUCAAGAGUUAUCAGAUUCUUUUUUUUUUCUUUUUUCAAUAAAAUUUUAAAUCUAAUAAUUAACGAAAAUAUUUUGAAAUUUUAAGAGUGAUUUUAAGUGAAAUUAUGUCCAAAAAAUAAACAAAAUAAAAUAUUUUAUGGACGAACGGAAAUGAAAAUUAUAAAGAUAUUUCGUAGACAAAGGGAAUAUGUAAUAAUGAGAUUUUCAUAAUAAUGUUGUUCUUUUAUAAUAAACAUAAAUUAUAAAAUAAAUAAAUAAUAGUAAGUCCAGAUUGAAAUCUAUUUUCUAAAUGGAGUCUUCUGUAAAUUAAUCGUCUUACCGCAAGCUAGGUCAAAAUCUAGACUCAUAUCCAUAAUUAAUGACAUAAUUGCAUAAUUAUAUCACUAAGUAUCAAGUUGAAUUCGAAUCUAAAUCUUGAUCCGCUCAUCUUGUGAAGAGACGAUCUCACAUAUUUUUUUUAUAAUUUUGCUGUGGUGUGUAUAAUACACUCAACAAUCCAACAUAUUUAACUCAGUAUUGCAUCAUUUCAUAUAUUAAAGCUUAACAUAUCAAACUAAUACAAUUCACAAAAGCUUUUGUUGAAUUUCUUGAUUCGAAUUUGGCGUGGGUUUGUUUCAACAAAAUGAAAUUAUUAUUUAUGCUAUAAAAGGAAUUUCAACAUAGUAGUUGUAUGAUUAAAAUACAUAUAUAUGCACAUGCACUAUAUAUAGAUCCACCAACAUGUCCCAGCUUAUCAUAAUUGCAAUAUUCACCAAAAUAAAAAUAAAAAAUGACAUGAAACCAUAUGUGUUAGUAAAUGAUAUUCCCAUUUAAUGCGUUUCCGGAUACUAAGUUGGUCUUGGACCGAUAGGUGAGGGGGCCCAAUUGUGGAUUUCAUUGAUCCACAUUUUGAGAUUGAGCUGACAUGGACCAGCUUCAUUUACUCCUUUCUUUCUGUAUCAUAUAUUUUGUAAAUAUGCGGUUUUAUUUUAUUUUAUCUUUGUAGCUGUAAAUAUGCCAUUCUUAUUCUUUUUAUUAUUUUUAUUACUAUAUAAAAUUUUCAAAGUAAAUCAAAGUAAUAUGUUUGUAUAUAUAUAGGGUUGAGUUCUAUUAAUAGUAUGUACUAAAUUUGGACCACACAUUUUAUACAUGUGACGCGUUAAGAACACGACACGUGAUAGAGGGCCUCCAAUGCUUUCUAAACCAAAAUACACGUAGGGGUAAAAUAGGAAUAAAAGUUUCGAAUAUUAAAAAAUAAAAAUAUAAAAAAAUAUUUUCAUUUUUUUUAAUUUGAAAUUUAUUUAGUACAUAUAAUUAAACACAAUAUAUAAACACAAACAUGCAUAACUUUGCACACAAAAAUGUAUUGCAUUGUGGCAACAUCAUGCAUAUUUUUGUGUGCAAAGUUAUGCAUAUUUGUGUUUUAUAUAUAUGCAUUUUUGCGCUUAUAUAUAUGCACUUGUUUUCAAUUAUAUGCAUCAUUCAGACAUGGGCGAUAAGGGAGAGGUACCUGACCGGUCGCACAAAAAUGCAAUGCAUUUUUGUGUGAAAUUAUAUGCAUUGAAUAAAUUUUGGAUAUUUAAAAAAAUAAAAAUAAAAACUAGUAUUAAUUUUUUAAAAUAUUCAAAAAAUUUAUUCUCAUUUUACCUUUACGUGUAUUUUAUCUUGGUUGACCUCUGCCACAUGACGCGUUCUUGGUGAGCCACAUGAACAAAAUAUGUGAAUUUUGUACUAUAUACUACCUCAGGCUUGGGUACUACAUUAUUUCUUUCCUGUAUAGAGAGUGGUUAUGUUGUAAACCACUCUUGUAGUAUAAUCUGAAACAAAUUUACAUCAUUGAUAUAUCCAUAAUUUAACGGUUCAGAUUUUAUCUUUAGGUAAUCGAUAUGUAAAUGUCUGAAUUUUAUGUAGAAUGCAUUUGAAUUCACUGUGUAAAUAUCUGAAUUUCGAAAAUUAAUAAUUUUCGCUUUUCUAUGACAUGUGAACUUAGUACUUUAAAUUUAUCCAAUAAAGUGAUAAACUAAAACUCCAUUCGUUCCGCGAAACAUGAGUCGUUUCUUUUGGAUACGAGAUUAAUGUGUUAAGUGUGGUAGGUGAAAAAGUGAAAAGUUGAAUAAAGAAAAAAACUUUUGUCAUAUAAGAAAACGUAAUAAAUUUCAUGGGACGACCUAAAAAUGAAUACGACUCAUAUUUAUUGGACCGGAGAAAGUAAUAAAUUCUAAUGAUCUAAGGAAUGAAAAAAUAAUUCAUAUUUAUGUUUUAAAAGGAGCUUUUAGGACGAGCUAACUUAAAAGUAUAAAUUCUAAAUUUAGAUUUUUUUUACGCCUUUGAAGUUUGAAAACGAAUAUUUACAAAAAAGGUUGCAGAAUUAUGGUAAAAACAUCGGGGGUGUGGUAUCUAUUAAUUACUCCGCUUGUCCCAAUAAAAAUGGCCACCUUUCCAUUUUUGUUUGUCCCACUAAAAAUGGUCAUUUUCUCAAAAUGAAAAUAUUUAUUAGUUGAUUAAGUCAAAUUAGUUAAUUUAAUUAAAAGUUCUAAUUAGAACCUAUUCUGUUUGGGGGCAAGACAGAGUGAGAGAGCGAGAGGGGGGGAGGAGGGUGACGAAUUCAGAAAGGGAGAGAGGGGUGAGCAGAGGUGGCGGCGGCGCCGCGGCUCGCAGCGGCUGCCGCGAAUAGAACAGAGAGAGGGAAUAGAUCGAGCAAAGGAGAGAGAGGGAGAACAUAGAGGAUAGAGAGGGAGAUCCUGAGACAGAGGGCGACGGCGCCUGAGGCAGGGGAGGAAGAGAGACGGUAGAGCGCAGAGAGAGAGAGAACGCAAAAACAGAAGGGGAUCUUGAUUUGGAGGAGAGAAAAAAAAAGGGGAGAAGAAGAGACGCUGGCCUCGCGGUGCCGGAGGCAGCGGGAACCGGCACCGUUCGCCGAAGAAGGGGAGAGAGAGACGGUAGAGAGCAGAGAAAGAGAUAACGCAGACACAGAAGGGGGAGGAGAGAGACGGCAGAGAGCAGGGAAGUUGUUUUAAUUAAUUCAUUAAUUUUGGUGGAACACAUCUAAUUAGAUUAUAACAAUCUCAUUCUUAAUCUCCGUGUUCAAAAUAAAGUGGCCGCUUUUAAUGGGAUGAAGGAAGUAUUAAUUUUUUUUAAUCAUGGUUAACUAAUCCAAAUUGAUAUUUAUUAAUAUUCAAUUAGAAUUUAAUGAUUAAAUCAAUUAAACUUCAUUAAUAAAUAUAUCUAACUAAAUAAUUAAAAUUAAUUAAAUAAAUGAAUAAUUAAAGGAAUGGGUCCCAACCGCACUACUGAAUUAAUUGUCCAAGAUCAAUCUUGAACACUUGCUUCACGAAACAUAAAAGGAAAGUAAAUGAUGGAAAAAUACGUAUAUCAAAAUCAAUAAAUCUAGGCGGGCACAUGUCCAUAUACAAACUAGUAUAAUAAGGAAAUAUUGAUUUAUUUAAUUUAUUUUUUUUAAAUAAAAAUAGAAUUUAGUUAUUUUAUUAUUUCUCUAUAUUGUACUUAUUUUUUUAAAUUUUUUUUGUAUUUUUUAUUUUUAAUUUAUUUUGUAAUAAAAUAAAAAAUUACAAAAAAUUGCAAAAAAUUAACUUCAAUGUAGAGAAUAUGAUAAAAUAACUAAAUCUUAUUUUUAUUUUAAAAAAUAAAUUAAAUAACUUAAAUUAUUUUCUAUUUAGAUAAAUUGUGGGUGGCCACAAUGUGGCUGUUUAGCAUUACUCUAUCAAAAUAAAGAAAGAAAAAGGAAGGGCUCACUAUAAUUUAUUUUAGUUAAUGAGGCCUAACUCAAGUGAUAAAAUUGAGGCAUCUAAAGACUUUAGUUUGUGAGAAAUUUUGGGUUUAGUCCCACUUUCAUAUGGAUAGUUUUUUUUACCUUUGUGUGGUAUAGUGGUCUCGUCUACGUGCGAGUAGUUUUUUUACUUUUAUGUCAUGUAGAGGUCCCGUGUGCGUGUAGCUUAUUUGAUUAUAAUUAAAUACCUCUUGUAAUUUUAAUUAAAAGAAAAAAAAAGUACUCCAUUUGUCUCACAAAAAUAUGAAGAAAAAAAAGUACUUCUAUCAUCUCAUAAAAACAAGAGCAAUUAAGAGUGACACGAGUCUUAAGAAAUAUUAGUUGAUAGUUAUUGUGAUUGAGAAAUGGGUCUCACUUUAUAAAGUGUUGGGAGAUUAAUGAUUCUAAUUAAAAAAAUAAAAAAAUACUCCCUCCGUCUCAUAAAAACAUGAACAAUUAAGAGUUACAUGGGUCUUAAGAAAUAUUAGUUGAGAGUUAUUAUGGGUGAAAAAUGAGUCUCACUUUAUAAAGUAUUGAGAGAGUAAUGAGUUAAUUGAGAAAAAGUAGUAGUGGUCUGGUGGGUCAUGAUGAAUUUUCUAUGAAUAAGUAUGAAAAGCAGGAAUAAAAAUAAGAGAAUAAUGUGCAAAAAUAGAAAUGUUUAUAUUUUUGUAAAACACUUCAAAAUGAUAAAUUGUUCAUGUUUUUGUGAGACAUAACGAGUAUAAUUUUUUUAUAUACUAUUAUUAUAAAGAUAACAUUCACCAAAUCAAAUAUUGACCUUUAAGUUUGGAUAUCUUAAUUUAGCGGUACAAUCAUUAAUGCUUAAAUUAAAAAAAAAUUAAAAGUUUGAAUUCCUUGUUAUACGAUAUUUAAAUUUAAUUGCUAAUUUAUUUCCUCCAAAAAAGUAUUCACAUUUUAUUUUAUAAUUUCGACUUCAUUGCCAGGGCCCAGGGUGAAUUAUUUGAAGCUUUAACCCCCAAUUGUCUGGUUGGUGCUUACAUGUUUCUCUUUGGAAAGCACUAGCGUGAUUUUAAAAAAUAGAUACUAUAUCAUAAAAGAAAAUUCUUAUUUGUAUGAAAUAAAAACAAAUUAUAUCUAUUUUCUGUAAGAAUGUGUAAAAUUUACAAAAGUAAUUUGAUUGUUUUGUCCUCAAUGAAAUCCUAACUAAAACUUAAAACUAAAAAAUUACUAUAAUUUUAAAUGCACGCAAUCACACAAUUUAUGUGCUGGAGCUCAAAUCGACUUAAUAUUUUGAUUUGCGAGAGCUCAUUCAUCCGAAUUUGCUCAAUCUGGAAGGAGUUUGUAUGCUAAUUGAAGGUAACGCUAAACAUAUUUAAAUCUCAUGAAAGCCGAAAUAAUCCAUCAAGAAAACUGCAGAAAGCUCAUUAUUUAUAAGAGAUGAAUGUGACUAAUAAUGAUAAUCAAGAAUAUUAGCAUAGGUCAAAAUCCCCAAGAUGGCCUCACCACGUGUAAAUUCGGCACCCAAUCAUAUAAAUACAUGCUUUUUGCCAAGAAAAAAAAAAAAAUUUAGAGUUUCUCUGUAAGAAUAAACCAGCCAAUCGGAUCUGAGCAGGAGUGGGCGAUUCCAUUCUCGUAAUUAAACUCCAAACGCAGUGGCAAAUGGCAAUUUAGCCACACCAGAAUCCCCUAAACCUUAAAAAGUUAAAAAAUAAAGAAAUACUAAAAGGAAUCCUCAAACCCUACCCACAGUGUCAGCUCGUGGGGCCCGCCCCCCGCGAUAUAACAUGACCAUUAGCCAAUGAAAAAAGCUACUUAAAAUGGCUAAUUAAGAUCAUAGAAUAAUGGCUAAUUAAAUAUACUAAUCUCAAGAUUGACAACUAGCUUCGAAAGAUGGCAACUUGGUUGUGUUUGUUAAAGGGGCCAAAUGCAUCAUACGUAUUUCCUAAUUAAUGAAUUAAUCCCGUUUAUUAUUGUAUACAUAAAAUAAUAUUCAUUCUCUUUAAUUUAAUACUUUAAUGUCAAACAUAUAAUGAUAUUAUAUUUAUGACACUCUAAUAUCUUAUUUACUUCAAAAUAUAACUAAAUCAAAAGAGCUCGACAAACCCACGUAGAAUAUAAAGUAAAGUGAUAUUUUAUAUACGGAUACAUGAUACAAAACACUCUCUUUUUAUAUAUCACAUGUUUCAUAAUUACAUAAUCAUAUAAAAAUUAUUUCCUCCAAUCCUACUAUUUUGAAACCUUUUUUUUAGGCACGGGAAUUAAGAAAAUAGUGUAAGUGAAAAAGUGAAAAGAUAAAUAAAAAAUCUAAUUUUUACCAAACAAAAAGAUGUCUCAAAAUAGGUGGAACGCCCAAAAUAGAAAGUGUCUCAAAAUAGAUGGAACAAGGGAGUAAUAAAUUAAAUUAUCACAAUUUCACUUUAUUGGCAUGAUUUAUAUAUAUUACAUAUAUUUAAUUAAAUAGAAUAUUGAUACCUUAGUAUUAGAAUUAUCAUAAUUUUACGUGCAGGUGUAGCAAACGGAGCUCUUUAUUUGGUAAAUUGAAUUUACCAAUUGUGAUAUUAAGAUGAUUCGAAGUUGGUAAAUUGAAUUUAGUAAUUUGUUAAGGAGAUUCGAAGUUAGUAAUCGGUGUGUAUGUAGAUUUAUAGAGUGUGUUGAUGAAUGAGUAUAAGCUAAAUUAAUAUAGGUGGGCAGUUUAUAUAUAAGGACGUUAAAUUUUCAUUAAUAUCUGUACGAAAAGCAAGGUAGGGAAGGUGGAGAUAAUCUAGAAAUGCCCAUUUCUUUUCAUUUUCCUCAAAACCCCAGAAAUUCUUUAAUAACUGUAUAGCUGAAACAAAUCAUGAGAGGGACAGAGGCGGAGAUUUGUGUGUGUCUGAGCGAGUGAGUUUUUUUAGAGAGAGAGAGAGAGAGAAGGCGAGGAAAAAGCAGAGAAUAAAAAGAGACCGGAUGUUGACAAAUUUCGUGUCACUGUUCUUAGAAGGUCGUUUGUUAGUGUGAAGAUUUCUUAUCUGGGAUCUCUCUCUUUCUCUCUCACUUUCUUCAAAAUAAAAUACUUUGUUUAUAUCAACAGUAAAUACAUACAGUUGCGGGGAGAAAUCCUUUGUUUUUUUGUUUUCUUAAACUCCCCUUCUCUCUCUAAAAGUGCUGCCUUUUCUCUUCGUAGAUAGAGAGGGAGAGGGAGAGGGAGUGCCCAGUAGAUCGAAAUCUCCAAUCCUUAGUUGAGUUUGAUGAGGAUCUGGCUUCUUCAAUACACACUCAAUUAAUUCCUGCCUUGUUUCAUUUGCCAAUUAUUAGUAUUACCUUUUUUUCCCUUCAAUUUGGGUUAGUGGAAUACUGUGAAAAGAGCCUCAGAAUUCACAUGAUUCCGACCCUUAUUCACCUGGAGAUACUGUCGGAUGAUUCAAUCCAUGAGGGAUUCUUGAGAGCAGGCUGUUUCAAGAUGUGGGUCUGAGGUAAUUAACCUUUUUCUAUUUACUUGUGAUUUUUUAAGAUUUACUUGGUUUUGACUAUGACCCAGAAGAAAAUAGCUUUUUCGUCUUCCUUUGAAUUCUACCUAAUAAUUAGUCGUUUGAUUAAUUGAGCCAUAAUUAUAUUCCAAAUAUAUGCGUUUUCAGUUUCACAAAUUUAUUGGUGCCAUUGGUUGGGAAUCGGGGUGAUUGGAUUUAAGCAUUUUUCUCGCUGGUUCGUAUAUUUCCUCAUAUUUGGGGACUAUUUCAGUUUGAUGUGUGAUCAUCGAUAGCGAUGUAAGAUUUGCUUUCCAAAUAACAUUUUCUUAAUGUUCCAUGUUUUGAUAUAAAUUUAGGGCAAGUCCUCUCAUAGCUGCUGUAGAUGUUAAUAGGAUUUGUUGCAAUUCAAGAUUCUUUAACCGGAGUGUGCUACAUUUAUGCACUUUAUUAUGUUAAGAAAACCUAUACACAAUGAUGGCUUAAAUCUGCAUUUAUAGCCAAACAAUAGAGUAAAUUAUCUUGCUCAUAAUCUUUCUUCUCCUAGGUCAAAUUUGGUGAGUUUAGGAAAGGUUGUCUCUAUCAUGUCAAAUAUCGAGAGUUGAGUUUGAGUUUUGACUGCAAAUGACGCUUGCAAGUCUCAUUAAGUUGGCGAUUCUUUGUUGUUCUAGUUUGUUUGUGCUUUAUGUGUUCCUGAUCACUAGCACAGUCUUCUUUGAGUUUUCCUGAAAUCCUUGCCCCCCAAUCUUUGCUAGUGUGCUGCAUUAUUCUGAAAGAAAAAUUAACUUAGCACCGGAAGUUUAGGCAAGCUUGUGAUGCACUUUGAUGGAAGUUCUUUCUGGAUGUUAUAUUUAACCGAAUUGGUCCAACGACAACUUUGUUGUGCAUUGUGCCAUUUGUAGAAUACAUGCUUUAUAAUGUUUUUGUUUUCAGUACCGGUCCCAGCUUCUAGCCCUAGAAAAUUGGUGCAUGAAUUCCGACUUUCCAAUUAGUAAUUUAUCUAGAAUUCUACAUUUACUUGCCCUUAUUGGUGAACCCUGGAGUUGCUGCUGCCUAAUUUAAACAAAAGGAGAAUGUGGAGAGAGAAUUUAUAGCAUUGUAGGUUCUGCUUCGACUUACCUAAUACUGAUUUAUAUAUCUUCUCUAGGAAUGGGAACAAAAGUAGAUAGCAAGAGCUAUUUUCCGGGAUAUUACUCCAUGAGAGAUCUUAAUGAGGAUUCUAGCAGUAGUAGCUGGCCCCUUUGUUACGGAGAUAAGGCUAUCUCGAACGGGCAAUAUUACAAUGGCUUCAUGCCUAGGACAGCAAUGGAUGGUUAUCCUGGGUAUGGCAAGGAUGCAUUGAAGCAGAAAAUGCUUGAACACGAAGCUGUUUUUAAGAAUCAGGUGCUUUGAUUUCAUUUUCAGUGACCCUAAUUUUAAGAUGCGCAUUUUCCUUUGAUUUAUUUAUAAGUUGUUAAUUUAAAUCUGGUGAGCAUCAUCUCUUGUAUAAAUUCAGUUUAUGUAUCAGCAUCCUGAUCUCUUGAUCUUUUACCUUAUGACAUCAAGGUUUAUGAACUCCACCGUCUUUACCGGAUCCAAAGAGAUAUGAUGGAAGAAUACAGAAGGAAAGAACUUCAUAGAAUCCGACCAUCAAUAGAACCAUCGUCAUCAUCAAGUCUCAGAGGGCCUCAAGUGCCCUCAGAAGAAGCUCGGAAAUGGCACAUGACGGGCUUUCCUAUGUUAAAUUCUACUUAUGAAAGAACAUCUAUCUCUGGGAUUGAAAUUGCUAAUUCUCCUAUGAGUUGUACCAAAGGGAACACCAACUUGCAACCUGGUCAGUUCCCAUUCCAGAAUGGGUCUUCUUCUGUAAAAGACUCCGAACUGUUAGACUCAAGACCGUUGAAGGUGAGGAAGAAGUUGUUCGAUCUUGAACUACCAGCGGAUGAAUACGUUGAUACUGAUGAAGGCAAAGAGUCACUGGAUUGCAAAGGCUCUCAUGUAUCAAGUUAUGCUCACAACGGAAAUCUGAAAAGUGGACCUGAAACUCAGAAGUCAUCUCCUGUUGGGCAUAUUGGUGCAACAACUAAUUGUAGGAUAGAUGUCUCAGCUUCUGGUUCUUGUCUGAGGAACCCUAUUAGAUUGGCUGAUCUAAACGAACCCAUUGAUGUUGAAGAGGCAACUGCUCCUUCGUCAACUGAUUUCUUUGGUCAUAGCUCAAUCAAUCGACCUAGUAAUGGUGUAAAUCAGCAUGCUAUAUCAAACGCAGGUUUUUUAGGUGCAAAUGCCAAAACAGCACAUUACCGGGAUGGUUUUUUGACUAAUUCGUCUGUUGAGAGUAAAGUUAAUGAAAGGGGACCUCUCUCCCAUAUUUAUGAAGCAGGUACACACUUUGUGAAGAUUUAUGAUUUUCUUGAAAUCUUCCUUAUCCUAGUUGCCCAUUUCCCAUCUCUUUGAAUAUCUAUAAAAUCUGAUUAUCAGCCAAAAUUAAGCUAUUUCUGUCCAUUAACUAUUCUUAUCGUAUUAUUUGCAAAGCUUUUGAUUUGUCAAUCUUUCAGGGUCCAGCAAAAGUAACUUCAAUUCAGUAACUCCCAGUCUUCAGCAAGAGAAGUCUCAUCCAGUGCAAUGCAUGCUCAAUCCACACGAUCAUCCUCCUGGAAUUUAUCUGACUCGACAUAGUAGAGAAGAGUCUUGGAGGGAGGGAAACCACCAUCAUCUCGAAUCUUCUGAUAGAAAUCGCGAUCACUCCAAUAAUAGAUUCAUGGGGCCCCAUAUGGCUUCUCACGCCCCUGGUUCAGACCCAUUCUUUAGUUUGUCUUAUUUUUCUGGUACCUGGGCCCAUGCCGUCUCAUCCUGGGCGAAGCCAGCUAAAAACUUUACUCAGAAGAUGACCGCCUUGGAUUCAUGUCUGAAUCCUGCUGCAGCAAUGGAUAGAGGACUGCAGAUUUCAGCAGAGUGCCGGGAAAACUUUGGAGGAAAGUGGCAUGCGGGUGAUGACUUCAGGCUGAACCCUGGUUUGGGAGGUGAAGUGUCGACACGGAAUGGGUUUUACCAAGGAUCUGCCUCAGGGUCAAAAGAAAUAAAAGUUCACUUGCCCUCGCCGGGCUUUGAUUACCUUAACUGUAGUAGGGGUGAAAAUGUAGCAUCUGACCGCAUGACUAAUCAUGGAUACGGGAAUUUUCCUAAAGGAUCCUCCUUUGCAGAUUCAAAGCCUGCAAUAGAUAUUAACUUGAAUGAGGUGGUUUCAAAGAGCUCGUCUAAUGAGGUAACAGUCCUGCAAGAUGUUGCUACAGUAGAUGAAAAAGGUAAGCCCGAGGGCCAACUAUCUUCAUUGCCCUGGCUUAAAAAUAAGCCGGCCCGUGCUAAUGAUGCUGCAAAUUCUAGAAGCUACGUCCGUGAUUCUUCCAAUCAAUUGUCUUGGAAGGCUGAAACAGUUACAGAUCUAAAUGAGCCAUUCACCCCUACAGUUAACAUGGAUUCGAGUGAGACGAAGACAGAGAUGAUUACCAGGAACCAGAAUGUUAAGAAAAUUCUGGGGUUUCCGAUUUUUGAAGCUGGUGAUCUGAAAAAUGAGCCCUUUUCCCAUGUUUCCACCUCGGCAAGUUUUAGUUGCCCUCGUGAUGGAAAUGGUGUUGUUAAGGAAAGGAAGAAUAGAGUAAUUGAUAUAAAUCUAGAGUGUGAACCAGAAGAAGAGGCUGUGGAGAAAGAAAAGCAAACAAAAUGUGGCGUUGUCAGAGACUUCAUCGACUUGAACUCGUGUAUAACUGACUGUGAAGAUGCUUUAGCACCUUCUUACGAGAGCAAGACUGCCAACAGUAAGGUGAUUCUCGACAUAGAUUUGGAAUCUCCUGUUCUUCCGGAGAAAGAGUCCAAUGAGGAUGCUGCAGGUGCUGUAGUAUCCUUACUGUCGGAGAAUAAAACUGAUUCAUCACAGGACGAGGUUCUUAGAACUGCAGCUGAAGCGAUCGUUGCCAUGUCAUCAUCCUGUCCGAAAAUCCAUCUAGAGGAGAGUGACAGCAUUGAUCUUCUGGAAGCUUCUUUGGCAGAAUCGUUCGUGUGGUUUGUCAAUGCUGUGUCCUCAUGUCCAGAUGAAAGUGCGUUCGCAGAUAAAGAUGGCUUGCCAAAGGAUUUAUCUGUGGAGAUGGACGAUUUUGAGGCAAUGACGUUGCAAAUUCCAGAGACGAAGGAGGAAGAUUACAUGCCAACACCCUUCGUACCUGAUGUCCUGAAGAAUGAAGACGCUGGGGGCAAUACAGUAACAAGGCCCCGAAGGGGUCAGUCGAGGAGAGGGAGGCAGCGGAGGGACUUCCAAAGGGAUAUCCUUCCCGGUCUGACAUCAUUGUCGCGCCAUGAGGUGACUGAGGAUAUCCAGACAUUUGGGGGUAUGAUGAGAGCCACAGGGCAUCACUGGGUUUCGGGGCUGGCUAGAAGAAACGGCACCAGAAAUGGGAGUGGUCGGGGCAGGAGACGAGCUGUGGUGGAGACGGUCCCUGCUGCCACUCCGACUCCACUGAUACAGCAACUCAACAGCAUUGAAGCUGGUUUGGAGGAUAGAAGCCUAACAGGGUGGGGGAAGACGCCGAGGCGCCCCAGAAGACAGAGAUGCCCUGCAGCAGGUAACCCUCCUGCUGUGGUGUUAACUUAAUAAUUGAGAGAAAGAAAAAAGAGAGUACAUUCCUUUAUUGAUCAUAGAGAAAACACAAGAGAUGAGGGAUCUUGUUUCAUCACUUUUAAGAGAGAGAGAGAGGGAGACUGUGUUGCGGUCUUGGUAAUUUGUCUUGUAAAUGUCAUUGCAUCUCAUCAUAAUUUGUCUUUUGUGUCUUUGAGUUACUCCAACUUGUAGAAAUAAUCUUGCUUGAUUUCAUCAUGGAUAUAUACACGGCUUUGUUUCGAAUACAAGUUUCUUCUUUUUUAUAGAAACCAACAGCCUUUGCUUUUUUGGACUCUCGCGCCAAACUGCAUGUUCCAAGAAUUGACCAUGUUGCAUUAUUAUGCAUGCUAUUGUUUGAGCUUAUUUGAAUAUUCUUAUUCACAUUUUUAAAGAAAAAUUAGACUUUGUGUUCGUGUUCUCAACCGAAGUGAAUUUGGUUUUAGUGAUAAAAUAAUCUAACUUAAUUAAAUAAUCAAAUGUUUGAUUUGUAUGAUGAAUAACUUGUUUGAUAUUCUAAUAAUUCAAUUGAAUGAUUACUUUAUUAUUUCUAAAAUUGAGUUAAUUAUUUAAUUAUUUUAUUAUUUUAUUUUAUUUUAUCAAUUUUAUUUUUCACAUUCAUCAAAUCAAACGUCUCUAAGUGAAUGCAAGUGACUGCUUUAUCCUCUUGUGCUGCACAAUAAUGCAUUGUUGAAAAUUGAACAGAAAAGCUUAAAAUAGCUCAAAACGAACAUGAAAUUGUCUUUAAUUCCAUUAUUUUCGGAGAUUACAAGCUUAAAAAAUUAAACAUGACUUAAAUAGCCAUUCGAAUCGCUAAUUUGAAGACCAUCUUUUAAGGUUGAAUUAUAGGCCGUUCAAGAAUUUGAAAAUUAAUAUUUCCUUCGUCAAUGAGAAAUAUUACUCCAUCCGUCCCAACAAAGUUGAGUCGUUUCAUUUUCUUUAUAGAAAUUAGGAAAUUUAAAGCUUUAAUUAAAAAAUUAAUUACUCUCUUAUUUUUCUUAAUUAGUAUCCAUUCUCAAUCUUAUUUCACAUUUUCAAUAUCUGCAAUCUUACACCAAAUCUUGCCUCAUUGGCCAUGGCUGCUGCCGCCAAGGAAGGAGGAGGCGGCGAUGGCGAUAUGGGGAGAGGCGGCGAACAGAAUCUAGCUCCGGAAGCAAUUUUGACGUGGGGGAUUUUCGGGGGAAGAGGGGCACGACGACGACAGAAUAACAGGCCGGAAAAAAGCGGCGCUAGGGUUUAUGUUGGGGGUGGGGUUCUGUGACGGGUUCCUGGUGUUUCAGAUCUGGACGAAGAACACGGCGGGGAGCAUUAGAUCCAGACGGCAACGCACAUGGAGGCAGAGGGAUUGGCACAAUUGAGGUGGAAGUGGAGAUCAGAGAGGGAAGAUUUUGGAUUUGUUGAUUUUGUUUAUUGUUUUUCUCGAUUUUUUCUAAAAUUUGGGGUUUUGAAUGAGUUGAAGAAAUGACAGCAAUUGCUUGACAAGGGCGAUGACGGCGGCGGUUGUGGGGAAGAAAGACAUACGGUGGCGCUAGGGAUUUGGGGGUGGGGAAGGAAGAUGGGUUGGGGGUGUUUUUGAAUUAAAAAAAAAAAAAAUCAAAUUCAAUAAUUUAAAUUUUAUACUUAAAAAUAAUUCAAAAUCACUAAUUAUAUAAAUAACUAGGGAUGUCAAUCCAGCCCAAAACUCGUGGGCUGGUCCGAUUAGCUCAGCAAUCCAAGAGGGUUAGGGUUGAAAAUUUUCAACUCGAUAAAAAUUACAGUCCAAAUAGCCCGUAGCUGAAUUUUCUGAAACCCGGUAGGGUUGGCCCGAAAUAACCCGAAACCCUAUAGGGCUGGCCCAAAAAUAACGUGUUUGCUUGAUUAUAUGAAAAUUUUCUUGUUAUUUGAUUUUCAACUUCAUUAUUUUGCUUAUGAAAAUUAGUAUAGGUUUGAUGUUUUCUUCAAAAGUUUGUCAAAUGUAUUUUGAUUCAAUAUUAGAAAUUUAAUACUCCCUCCGUUCCACCUAUCUUAAGACACUUUCUUUUUUGGGCGCCUCACCUAUUUUGAGACAUUUUCUUAUUUGGCAAAAAAUUUAGGGUAAAUAUCAGUUUUUGGUCCAUCGUUUGGGCGUUUUCUCAAAUAUAUCACACCCUAAGCAUAAUUACAAAAUAAUACCCAUCGUUUCAUUUUUUUCUCGUUUAUGGCCCACAAAAAUAUUCUGGCCAUCGGUAAAUGACGUGUUCCAGCCAAGUGCCAUGUCAGCAGUACACUUGAAAUUAAAAAAAUAAUAAUAAUAAGAAACACGUCAUCAAUUAAAUCUUAACUUCUUUAUUCAAUCUUUCAACAAUAAAUCGUGAAGAGAGACUUCACUUGGGUCCAAUCCAUCACCCUUCUCUUUGGCGAUCACCGCCUCUUCAUCGUCGCCCAAAAAACCGAUGCAUGGGACGACGCCGUCGACCGCUUCUCCCUCUCCAUCGACAAAAGAGACAGCGACACAAACAACAUCGCCAUCCAAGUCGAGGGGUUCUUCAAGAUCUCAGCUAAGGUUGUCCCCAUCACUCACUACGGAUCAAGAAUCCACAACUACAGAAUCACAGAAGACGACUGCUUUGCUCAUCGCGACCUGGGGUUCAAAUUCUCGUCGUUGGACGCCAACGUGAACGGAGUGCUGGGGCAGACAUACAGAGAGAAUUACGUGAGCAGAGUGAAGAUGGGAGUGGUGAUGAUGGUGCUCGGAGGGGAGAGACAGUUCGCCGUCUCCAACAUCUUCGCCACCGAGCAGAUUGUAGGAAUGGAACUAGAUUACCAUAUUUAGAUAUCUUUCGGUUGUCCUAUAUUACUUCAAAGUUGUCAGCAAACAAAAAUUCAAGACUAUGUUUAAUAAUUUUCUUGAAGGAAAACUUGAAAGUAGUAAAAGUUAAGUUGUUGUAUCAAUUGUAUAACCAGUCAAGUGAAAUAUGUAGUUCUGAUUUCUCUAGUUUUCUCCAUGAUGUAUAUUAUUCAGGGUUUUAAAUAGUAUACUAAAAUAAGCGUGAAUUUGUACUAAAUAGAAGGAAAGUUAAAGACAUUCUGCCAUUUUAAUGUUGUAAUGUUGUCCGGUGAAGAAUUUUCGCGCCAUGGAAGGAAGGCGUUCUUUUGAAAAUUGAAGAUGAACGGUUAAUGCAUAUAGUGAUUUUUCUUAUAUUUAUUUUUCUUUAAUAUUUUAAUUCCAAGUGUACUGCUGACAUGACACUUGGUCGGAACACAUCAUUUACCGAUGGUCGAAAUAUUUUUGCGGGCUAUAAACGAGAAAAAAAUUAAUGAAACAAUGGGUAUUGUUUUGUAAUUAUGCUUAGGGUGAGAUAGAUUUGAGAAAACGCUCAAACGAUGCGCCAAAAAUUGAUAUUUACCUAAAAAUUUACCCUUUAUUCAUCUUUUCACUUUUUCACUUACAUACAAAACACUACUUUCUUAAUUUUCGUGCCCAAAAAAAUGUCUCAAGAUAGCUGGGACGGAGGGAGUAUUAGAAAGUUAAACUCAUCAUUUCACUUCUUUGUAUUUUUAAUCAAUACUUAACAUAAAAUAUUUAGAUGAAAAAAAUAUAAAAAUGAUAAUUAUUUAACAAAAAUGUUGCAUCUUUAUAUCUCUAAGAGUUGCAUAUUAGUCAUUAUGUAAGUUGAUGUUCAAAUAUUACUUAUUUACGCGUCGUAUUUGUUUAUUACAAUAUAAUAUUGUNAAAAAAAAAAAGCAAAAAUGAGAUGAUCUAUGCUGAAGUCGACCGACCGUGGUCUCCACCCCACCAAAUUGAGACCUGCGGUCUCUUCCACAUUUUAGAUAGGAUUUUGAUGAUGUGUUGCAAUUUUAUUGGUUGGUUGAUUUUAAUUUAGAUAUUAGCAUAAAAUUUUAAUAUCUAUUAUAUAUAUAUAUUAAAUUUAUAAUUUAAUUUCUCUAUAAUAGACCUCAUUGUUUAUAGUUAUACAUACCAAAAUUUUCUACUUUUUGCAAUGGAUCCUAGAAAUUUUUUUGAGGAUUCUCAAAAUUUCUCAAACUCGCAAGAUUAUUAUCCUAAUCUUGAUAAUAUUGAUAGCCAAGUUUUUGGAUCUGGUUCAAACCCUCAAUUUCCAUAUGAUCUCACUCGUGAAAAUUCCACUCCAGAAAAUAUCCACCCCACAAACACAAACACCUCCAGCGGUCCGAAAGGUUGGAAUGAUCAAGAAGAUUUGGCGCUCAUGUAUGCUUGGUGUACUUGUAGCUCGGAUCCAAUUGUUGGCACUAAUCAAAAUAAGGCCACUUCGGUGGGGAGUACCUCAGAAGGCCAACCGAAGAAGAUCUUGCUUGUCUACUGUAUGUUGGUGCUCAACGCGGUUUUCCCGGUAUGCUUGGUAGUAUUGAUUGCAUGCAUUGGGAAUGGAAAAAUUGCCCUACUGCAUGGGCUGGGCAAUAUACAGGAAGAAGCGGUAAGACAACAAUCAUCUUGGAAGCAGUCGCAUCUCAAGACCUAUGGAUCUGGCACGCAUUUUUUGGAACUCCAGGUUCGAGAAAUGAUAUCAAUGUGCUUCACCAAUCGCCUGUUUUCAAAGAUAUAUUGGAAGGUCGAGCACCAAAGGUUAGUUAUGUGGUAAAUGGCCAUGAAAAAGAUAUGAGAUAUUAUCUCACUGAUGGUAUAUAUCCUUCAUGGGCAGCAUUUGUCAAAUCUGUUAAUGGUCCACAAACUCGAAAACAUCAACUGUUUGCUCAACAUCAAGAGGCUGCUCGAAAAGAUGUUGAGCGAGCAUUUGGAGUUUUACAAGCUUGUUUCAAUUUUAUCAAACGACCAUGUCUCAUGUGGGAUCGUGAUAUGAUGGGAAAAGUAAUGCUUGCUUGCAUUAUUAUGCACAAUAUGAUAGUGGAAGACGAGCGGCAUACUUACCUAAAUUACUGUGAUCCAACAGAAUUUAUGGAAGUUAGAAGGUUUAAUAGCCAAAGUGAAGAUGUUGAAGCUAAUGAUGAUCCUAAUUUUGAAUUUUCCACGGAACGGAUUGCAAGUCUAGCAAGCUAUAUGAGGAAUAGGACACAACUUCGUAACAGGGAAGCUCACAAUGCUCUAAAAAAUGACUUGAUCGAACACAUUUGGCAAAAGUUUGGCGAUGAUAAUUAAAUGCUUAGUAUGUAUUUUUUUUUCUAUUUCGAAUUUGCAUUGUUGUAGUUUAUAUUUAUAGUUUGUCGUAAUUUAAAUUUGUAUUAGUUUGUUUUUUUUUCCGUUUAAUUUUUUUGUAAUAUUUUAAUUUAUAUUUAAUAUAAUUAAAAUUAUUACGAUUAAAAAUAAUAAUAAAAUAAUUAUAUAUAAUGUUGUGGUUGGGUGGUUGGAGUGGUCAUUGAUAAAUCAACAAAAAUAGAGGUGGUUGGGUUGGAAUAAAUAUAGUGAUGUGGAAGAGAGAGAAAUUAAUUAAAUAUUGAAGAUGGUUGGAUGGUUGGGUGGUUGGAUGGUUGCUGAUAAACAUAGCCUAAGAGUUGCAUAUUAGUCAUUAUGUAAGUUGAUGUUCAAAUAUUACUUAUUUACGCGCGUAUUUGUUUAUUACAAAUAUAAUAUUGUCAAGAGAAAUAUUUUAUUUAAUUUUUUUAAAAUGAACUUUUGAGUCUGACUAGGCCGAUGGGGUAGCCCGAAACCCGAACAUCUAAGGUUAGGGUUAGAAAUUUUCAACCCGAUCAGCCCGCACCCGAAUAACUUGAUAACCCGAUAGGGCUAGCCCGAAAUCUGGUGGGUUGGCCCGAUUGACAUCCCUAUGAAUAACUACUUAACCACAGAUUUACAAACGUACUUAAAUAAUUAAACAAUAGCUCCUUAAUUCCUGUGUAAAAAAAAAAACACCUCAACUUCGGCGGGACGAAGGGAGUAUAUUUUCGUCAUUUUGGGACAUCCAUAAAAAUUAACCCAUUUCCAUUUUUGAAAACUUUCGAUCACAUGUGAUGAUGAUGUUUGGCUGUAUUAGAAUCAGAUCUGAUUGAUGGCAGACACAAGGACAAAUAAGAGAAAUGAAGGUUCAUUCUUGAUCAAAGCGCACAUAUCAAAUUCCAUGGGCAAGAAGAUGACAGAAGGAGACGCAAAUAUGAUUGGCUGCUGAACGAAGAAGCGGAUCGAAAAAUAGGAUAAUUCAGUUAUAAAGUAGUUCACACUGAUCUGACAAAUCAUGCACUAAGCGACAAAGCAAGUUUAAUUACGAGGACUACGAGAGAAAACUAUAUUUUCAUAUCAUAUUGGGGGGGAGCAGUCUGCGAAUGGAGAAGUGGAGAGGGAGAGAAGGACGGUGACAUGUUAGAAUUUCAGGAUUUAAUUUUUUUAGUUUAUGUUUUAUUCUUAGUUAAAUAUAAUACUUUCUACGUCCUAUAAGAGCGUGCAUGAUUGUUGGUGGCACGAGUUUUCAUAAAUGUUAGGUGAGUGUGUUAUUAGUGGAAGAAGAGACUCAUUUUUAUUAGUGAAAUAAAUGUCCAAAAAAUGAAAGUGCACACUCUUGGGGGACGUCCCAAAAUGGCAAACAGUGCACACUCUUAUGGAAUAGAGGGAGUAUAUUUUUAACUCGUAACGAAACGAUUCAUCUAAUAAAUUGAUACGCCAGUUUCUAUUUUGCCUCGUACGUGCUACAUUAGUUUUGAUUUCGUCAGAGACCUUUAUUGUAGGACAAUUGCGAACAAAUUACAAAUUAAUGUAUUUAUUGGUUAAAUUAAAAAAAAUUGUGUAUUUUUGGACCAUUACCCCCCUCCCCUUUUUUUAACCAGGAGAACAACUUUAUAUAUCCUCAAGCGCAACUGACAAGAUGGCGGGAGAUGAAACAAAUGCAAAAGUAAAACCAGGAAAACUAACAUAAACUCAAGCGCAACCGCCGUGAGAUUAUGUUCAUUGCUACCCAGAAAAAUAGCUUUGGUCCCACUUCCAAAAUCCCACUUCAAAUUCGCAUCAUUUACUUGUUCAGCAUCCCACAAUCAAGAAAUUGAGUCGCUUCUUUCAAUCUCAACAAACCCUUUCUACCGCCCGGUAAACAGGUGCAAGACUCUCUCUUUGCUUCAACAAACUCACGCCCUUUCGAUUGUCAACGGAGAAUCGAUGGACCCUUUAUUGAAGAGAAAAUUAGUGAGUCUGUAUGGUUUAUUUGGGCAAGUGACGACUGCCCGCCAGGUGUUCGAUAGAAUUCCUGACCCGGAUAUUAUUUCAUGUAAAGUGAUGAUAAGAGGUAUUUUAUGAAUAAUUUGUACGGAGAGAUAAUUGAAUUCUACAAGCUUAUGCAAAGGAGAUUUUUUGUUUUUGAUAACAUUGUGUUCUCAAUUGUGUUGAAGACGUGUAGUGAGCUGAGGGAUUUCGGUGUAGGGAGGAAGCUACAUUGUUAUAUAGUUCAAAUAGGGAAAACCAGAUAGCUUUGUGUUGACUGGGCUUGUUGACAUAUAUGCAAAGUGUGGAGAAGUUGACUCUCCUCGUAGGGUUUUUUUAUAGGAUUUGGGACAGGAAUGUGGUAUGUUGGACAUCAAUGAUUGUAGGCUAUGUGCAGAAUAAUUGCUUAAGAGAAGGGCUACUACUGUUUAACCGAAUUGCUUGGUCGAAGGAAAUGAUUACACUUUAGGGAUUAUAGUGACAGCAUGUGCAAAACUAGGCACAUUGCACCAAGACAAGUGGGUGUAUGGAAAUGUGAUAAAAAAAUGGGAUCUUGGUAACUUCCUACUUAUUUACUUCUCUUCUUGAUAUGUAUGUCAAAUGUGGGGCAGUUGAGGAUGCUCGUAUGAUCUUUGAUGAGGUUCGUGUCAUUGACGUUUUUUCGUGGACACCAAUGAUCAUGGGAUAUGCUCAAAAUGGGGCUGCUGAGAAAGCCCUGCAUUUGUUCACUGACAAGAAAUGGGGAAAUUUUCGUCCAAAUUUAGUUACCUUAGCAAGCGUGCUCUCAGCUUGUGCGCAGUCGGGCAGUCUCAUGUUGGGUUCAUUUGUUCAUAGUUUAGGGAUUAAACUAGGGCAUGAUGAUUUUUAUGUCAUGAAUGCUCUAGUUAACAUGUAUGCAAAGUAUCGUAGGAUAAGGGAGGCCAUUCGUCUGUUUGAUUCUAUGGUAGAGAAGGACUUCGUCUCUUGGAACUCAAUCAUUAGUGGUUAUCUUACAACGGGUACUUGUACGAAGCACUGAAGUUGUACAAUCAGAUGAGAUCAGACUGCUUUAGGCCUGAUCCAGAUACUAUGGUGGCAGUCCUAUACACUUCUGCUAGCCUUGGAGAUAUCCGGUUUGGCUCUUGCGUUCAUGCCUACUCUAUAUGAGAAGGCUUCUUGGCAUUCAACUGCAUCUAUGUUGGCACUGCGCUUCUAAAUCUGUACGCCAAAUAUGGGUGAUGUAGAGUCUUCUCGCGCUGUCUUUGAUGAGAUGCCUGAGAGGAACAUAUUCACGUGGAGCACCAUGAUUGACAGGUAUGGAAAACAGGGCAACUUGAGCAAGUGCCUCGAGCUUUUCAACGACAUGGUUAAGGAGAAUGUUGAUCCAACUAAUAUAAUAUUCACAACAGUAUUGUCUGUUUGCAGCCAUACUAGGAUGACCAUUGAGGGCUGGAGAUAUUUUGAUCUAAUGUGUCACGUAUACAACUUUAUCCCCUCCAUGAGACACUAUGUGUGCAUGGUGGAUUUAUUAGCCCGAUUUAGGAGCCUCGAGGAAGCUUGAAAGUUCAUUAAGGAAAUGUCGGUGCCCCCUGAUUGCACGAUUUUUGGAUCUCUUCUUCACGGAUGCAGCAUACAUUCUAGGUUCGAUCUUGGGGACUUGGCUGUGAGAAAGAUGGUGGAGCUUCAUCCAGAAGAGGUGGGGCAUUAUACGCUUAUGGCUAACAUAGACACUUCUAUAGGGAUAUGGGAUCAGGCGAAUCAAUAUAGAGCUAUGAUGAAGAGAAGAGGGUUGAGGAAGGAGGUUGGAUUUGCUCGUAUAGGCUCAAAUGGCAACCUAAAAUAUCAGAAGGUGGCGUAGUUUGGUUGAAUUAUAGGGUUAAUAUAUCAAAAGAGAAUGAGUAUACAUACGAUUUUUGAAAUUUAGGGCAAACGAUAUGAUAAUUGGUUGCAGUUGAUCUGUUGUGCAAAUUGAAGGAGAAGCCUUGGCCUCAAGGCAGAAUGAUUUUUCUCUCUCUUUCUUUGCAAGAGGAGAUUAUAGAGUUUCCUUAUCUUCUUGGAAUAAUAUUUUUAUGCAGUGGAAAUCGUUCAACAACAGUUGAGAUGUUGAGGUGAUAUGAUGUUCAAUAACAAGAAUGAAGUAAACAAUUUUGUGUUGAUUCCUUUUGCUUGUGUGCCAAUCAGCUGUCACUCUCUCUCUCUCUGUGUUGAGGAAGUUGAGUUUCAUGAUCCACACCACAACUAAUUCAUAAAAAGGACAAAAAAUGCAGAUCAUCGAUUCAAAGCAAGAUUGUAUGCUGACUAAGUGGAACCUCAACAGAGACCGAGUGGUGGAAAAUCAUAUAAUCUGUAUUCAUUUAGAUAAUGAUUAAAUAGAGCUCUUGUACAUAUAUAUUACAACAAAAUCCCUUAACAUCAACACCCCUCACCAUGUUUCUUAGGAGGGUUGAGGUCCCAUUACAGCUGCAUCUUCGACUCUUAUGUAUCGGCUAAAGUUAGAGUUAGUUCAUGUUGGCACAAGUGCAGUAGAACGAGCCAUAACGGUGACCUAGGACAAGCCAAGUGCAGUGGCAUGACGUCAUGCAGGCGAAUGCGCCUUCUCUAGGUCUACGAGUAAGGAUCAACUUCAAUCAUGUUAUAACCGUGGACCUUUUUUCACAGCUGCAUUUCUCAUUUUUGCUUUCGCCAUAGAGCUCUCAUCCCAUUUACCCUCUUCUGCAUAUACAUUAGACAACAAUGUAUAAUACCCCGAAUCAUCUGAAUCCAUCUCCAAAACAUCUUGUUUAACGUUAUCCAGAAAAUCCAUCCGUUGAUGGAUCUUACACCCGUUCACUAAUGCACCCCAAAUGCUAGCAUCUGCAGGGAACAACAUCAAGCUAAUAACCUCGUACGCUCCACUAAGAUCACCACCUCGACUCAGCAGAUCAAUCGAAACCCCGUAAUGCUCAGAGUUGGGUGCGGUUCCAAAAUCCCUAACCAUUAAGUUGAAGUAAAACUUCCAUUUGUUCAACAUAUCCAGCAUGUUUGCAGGUUAAGAGAAUAUUCAUGAACGUAAUCUCGUUCGGUCUUAUUCCCAAUUCCACAAAUCGAAUCAUUAGCAUAGUUGUGUAUUCCAUAACCUUCGAUCAUGGAACUCCAAGAUGCAAUGGUUCGCUCGGUCAUGCUAUCAAAAGCUCUCCGAGCCAUACAGAGGUCUCCACCAUGAGUAUACAUGUUCACCAGAGUAGUAUCAACAUACAUAUGCUUAUCAACACCAAAUGUAAUCGGCUUAAGAUGAAUCUAUUUCCCCUUAUCAAUAUAACCAAGAUUCGAGCAAGCUUGAACCGCGCUAAAAAAGGUCACUUCAUCCAUGUCACUAAUGCUGGUUAAACGGUUCUAGUUAACCGGUUAAAACCAUAGUCUAACCAAAAAAACCAAUUAUCGGUUAACCGAAAAUCGGUUUUUAUCGGUUUGGUUUGAUUAUUAGUUAGUGUCUUUAUCGUUAACCGAUUAAUCGGUUUAAUUGGUCGGUUAACCAGUUUAUUUUUUAAAUUAAUUAAUAAGUAUAUAUUUUAAUAUUAUAAUUUAAAAAAUACUCCCUCCGUCCACGAAAUGAGUACCCAUUUGUGGACGGCACGGGUUUUAAGAAAUGUAUGAAGUGUAGUGUGAAUAAUUUAAGGGUCCCACUUUUUGAGUGUAUUAAUUAAAGAGAUGUGUAGGGUACACUUGCCAAAAAGGGAAAUGAGUACUCAUUUCGUGGACGGACGAAAAAGGAAAUAUGGGUACUCAUUUUGUGGACGGAUGGAGUACUUAAAAUUAAAAAUCAAAUCACAAAUUCACAAUUAAAGACUAGGGUUUUCUCUGUUUCUGCUGUCUGCGACUUCUGUUUCUGCCAUUCCGCUUAGCAGGUGCCUCUCCGACAUCACAGCCACCCCCACCGAUGCUGCGCCGCCGCAGCCGCAGCAGUCCCGUUCAGCCUCCCAACAGCCCAGGCCGCAAGGUUACAGCCGUCUCCGUUCAACCUCCCAGCAGCCGCAGGCUCGCAGCCGUUAGGGAUGUCAACCGGGCUAGCCCGCCGGGUUUCGGGCCAGCCCUAUCGGGUUUCGAGUUAAUCGGGUGCGGGCUAAUCGGGUUGGAGAUUUUGUCGGAUUAAAAAUUUUCAACCCUAACCCUAAACGUUCGGGUUUCGGGCUAGCCCAUCGGGCUAAUCGGCUUAAAGGCGUAAAAAUAAAAUAAUCAUUUGUAUUUUGUUAUUUUUAAUAAUCUAAUGUAUAAUGUAUAAAAUAUACAUAGAAAUUAAAGAUAUAAAUUAUAUAGUAAGCAUGAAAUGCAAAAAUAUAAGAUAUUUAAAAAGAAACAUCAAGAUUACAUAGCAAAAAUAAGUUUUUAACAAUAAAAUGUUUAACUUUGUUAAAGAAAAACAAUAAAAUAUCUAACAAUAGUUUGAACUCAUAGAAUCAAAGCAAUAUAGAAAAGUGAAAUAAUGAGACUUUAUAAUAUUUUAUCAUUUUUUAAUUUUUAUAUCUACAUAUUCUAUGUUAAAUAUUCGAGUUUCGGGCUAGCCCAUCGGGUUGGUCGGGCCGACCCUAUCGGGUGUCGGGCUAUUCAGUUACGGGCUAUCGGGUUGUAAUUUUUAUCGAGUUAAAAAUAUUCAACCCUAACCCUCUUGGGUGGCGGGUUAAUCGGGCCAGCCCAUCGGGUUUCGGGUUAGAUUGACAUCCCUAGCAGCCGUUUCCUAGCCGCCUUCCAACUCCAGCGGCCACACCAGCAGGUCCAGCACGGCUUCUACUUCAUGAAAGGUAGUUUUUUUUUAUUUUUUCGAAUGCCUCUUUCUGCCAUGUUAUCAGGAAUGUUUACUUCUACAUUGUUUGCAUCGUUGAAUUUGUUGAUUUGGUUAUAUUUUUCAAUAUGGUGUUGAUUCUGGUAUGCCUCUUUUUUUUUUUAUCACCGUAAACAACUUUUCCUGGUAAAGCUUGCAGUGACAACUCUGAACUAGAGUAGCUGCUUUAUUAUUGAUUUUGAUUUGGCAAGUUGCUAUUAACAUUUUUCUGAGAAUUGUGUGUUGCUGCAAUCAUGUUUUUGCAGUAAAUGGUUCAAAAUGGUGGGUAGUUCAGUUAGAUGAUAUAGCUCGUUCGUAGCCAUGUCAGUUUUCAUAUGUUAAGCUAUAUAUCUCAUUUUGAUAAUUCUUGAAUGAUUUAUUGAGCUCAUUUGCUGCCCUGUACACAUAUGAUAAUUGUGAGCGAAUUAAUAUUCUUAUUCAAACGUGACAAACUUUAGUCUUCAAUUUUUUAAAAAGACCAGAACCUCUGUUUUUUUUUCUUUUGUUUUUCUCAAUUAGCUGGAGAGAGUUGAAGAUGGAUCACAAUCUAUCACACAACAAGCUAGUAAUAGGCUUGGUUCGCUUGGAAUGGAAGACGAUGAUAUGUUUGUGAACUCGAAGAAGACGCACGUGAAGAAGUUGAAGAACCAAAGGCAAAAAAAACUCGGAAAUCUUCAGGGACAAGGUCCACUGUUUGGGAUGAUUAUAUUCAGAUUAUGGAUGGAGAAAGGGAUAAAAAGGUUAAGAAAGAGAAUGCAAACAGUGUGGCAAACUAAUAAGGGCUGAUCCAAAUAGAAACGGCACCACUGCUUUGAAGAACCAUACUACUUCGUGCUUGAAGAAGCAUCAAGCAACAAUUAGUCAAUCGGUUCUCAACUUACAACCCACUACUGAUGGAACAGGGUUGUUGACAAGUUGGAAAUUCGAUCAAAAUGUCGUUAGAAUGGCAUUGUGUCAGAUGAUCACCAUGGAUGAACUUCCAUUUAGAUUUGUCAAGCGUGAAGGGUUCAAGAUGUUUAUGGAGGCUGCAUGUCCUAUGUUCAAGAUCCCGGGCAGACAAACAGCACGAGCUGAUUGUAUGAGAUUGUUUUUGGAGCGGAAGGUGAUCUUGAAAUCUAUUUUCCAAGCUAAAGGCAUGGGACGAGUGUCAAUCACGACUGAUUGUUGGAUAGAGAUCAAUAACACAAAUUUUAUUUGUGUCACGGCACAUUGCAUUGACAAGGAAUGGAGAUUGCAUAAAAAGAUAAUAAGUUUUCGCAAGUGCACUAAUCACACAAGUGAUGAUCUUACUACUACAAUCAUAUCAUCCUUGGAGGAGUGGGGCUUGCAUAAGGUACUUUGUUGCACGAUGGACAAUGCAACGACAAAUGAUGUUGCAAUUAGGUACAUGAAGCCAGACUUUGAGAGGUGGGGGACAAGUGUUGUUGGUGGCAAAUAUUUGCAUAUGUGUUGUGUUGCUCACGUCCUAAACUUGAUUGUGAAUGAUGGAUUGGAUGAGAUUAGCAUGUCCGUGAGACGAGUAAGAGAAGCCGUCAAAUGGAUGAAGGCAUCACCAUCUAGAGUGGACAAGUUCAGAAGUUAUGCGGUGGCCUUGGAGAUUGAAUGCAGAAAGUCUUUGACUUUGGAUGUGCUGACGAGAUGGAACUCUACCUAUUUGAUGCUCGAGUCGGUUGUGCCAUAUAAAGAGGUCUUCGAUAUACAUAUGAAUGUAAAUCAUGAAUUUGUACAUGAUUUGAAUCAGAAGAAGUACAAAAACAUGACAAUUGAAGUUCCCGACAGCUUUGAUUGGGCUAAAGUGAAGAUGCUUUGUGAUUAUUUGGCCAGAUUUCAUGAUUUGACACUUCUCGUUUCAGGUACCAUAUACAUCCCAUUUAUUUUUCAAGGAAAUGUUCUUUAAUUUCAUGAUUUGACACUUCUCGUCUCAGGUACCACAUAUGUCUCAGCCCAUUUAUUUUUCAAGAAAAUGUGCUCUAUCUUUGAGUUCAUUACUCAGUUACAAAGGGAUGAAGAUGCUGAGAUUAGGGCCAUGGCCGAUGAGAUGAAGGCGAAGCUUGGAAAGUAUUGGUUGGAAACAGAUCAGGUGAACCCGAGAAUGAACAAGUUGUUUUACAUUGCUGCAUUGUUGAAUCUGAGACAGAAGAUCACACAUGUGAAAAAGUGCUUAAGAAAAGUUUAUGCUCCUCAGCGAGCGAUUGAAUUGUUGGGGGAGGUGCGCAACUCAUUGAAUGAGUUGUUUGAGUAUUACAAGAAACAACUUACUUCAGUUGAGGAAGCACUUGCCAAUGCACCUACUUCGGUUCAAAUUGAACCUCGAGUUAGUGGUGCUCGAGGCCAUGUUGAUGUUAUUUCUUAUGAUAGUGAAGAUGAAGAUUCAGGUGAUAUGUCAGCGAUUACUGUUUGCUUUGCUGAAAAGAAAUACAAGCACAAAGCUAUUGAGGGUGAUCAGUUUGAUAUCCUACAGUGGUGGUCCAAAAUUGGCCCGCGCUUCCCUAUUCUAUCUGAGAUGGUUAUCAAUACAUCAUCAUGGCUGUCCCUAUAUCGAGCGUUGUUUCUGAGGUUGCAUUUAGCACGGGGGGUCGUGUUUUAUCUCAAUUUAGAAGCUCAUUGACUGCUAAUAUGGUGGAGGCUUUGAUAUGCGCUGAGCUGAGGAUUGGCUCAAAUCUAGUUCAUCGGAUAAAUUUCUCCAAGAUGAAGAAGAUGUGCCUGAAACUGAGUUAGAGAAAGAGUUUGAAUCGGGUGAGUACUUUAAUGUCUUAUAAACUAUAAAAUUCAAAUCAUUACAAAUAUGCUAAUUAUUCUUCUUGUUUUAAUUUUAAAAAAAUUACAGUUUUGACACAACUUGGGAUGAGUAGUGGUGGAGGACAUGGAGUACGUGGAGGAACUAGUGGAGAUGUUCCUAGUCUACCUUGAAUCCGUUUCUUUGUUGUUGGUGUUAAACUUUAGACUUUUGUUACUUUAUGUUUUAUGUUAUGUUUGUUAGUGGAGAUUAGACUAAUUUCAUUAGACUUUUUUUAUGGAUUGAAAGUAAUUGACUUAUUAUUGUGGCUUUUGGUUGUAAUAUGUGUUAGUUUGUUUAAUUUUAUUGUCGUUAAUUGUUGCCUAGGUUGGGAAUUCAUUUAUUAGAGGUGUUCUUUUUUUUUUAAUAUAAAAAUACAAGUCUCUAUAAAAAAAAAAAAAAUUGUUCUAAAUAAUCACAAGUCAUUAGUUGGUGGAGUGGAUAAGACCUUACCUUUCUUUCAAAGGGUAAGAGUUUGAAUCCUAUUGCCAACAUUCUAAAAUUUUGAAUUUCUGAGCUGUCUCAAUUAAACCGGUUAAUCCGUUCAGAAUUUAUGUAUUAUUCAGUUAAUUCUGUUAACCGAACCGGUCCGGUUAAUUGGUUAACCGAAUUCUUAACUGGUUCGGUUACCUACAACACCUCAUUCUUAAGUGUUGCAAAAUAUCCUAAACGCGCGGACUUUAUAAAUCCACAUUUGGAAUACAUGUCAAUCAGAACAAACUCAUUUGGGAGGUAACUCUUGAUGAUAAGACAAUGAAUCUGACAUCCCAUUUCUGAGAGGUCGAUCAGUGGCCAAAGAAAACGAAUCUGCUGAUAUUCCUCGACUCUAACAUUCCUUGUCUUCCCCGACACAACCUGAUAUGAGAAUAUUCCAAGACACCAAAUGCUUAGUAUACAGAUCAAUAAGUUUGGUUGAUGGUAGAGCCGUCACGACUAGAUGUGUGCGAGUGAUCUUAUGUUGGUGCAGCCCUUCAAAAGGGGCAUGUACACUCUCAUUCUCGAUUAUACAUUCCCACUCCCACCAUAUAUAAUCACAUUGACUUCUUCUUUUUUGUUUAAUGAUUAGAUAUAAAGAAUUUGUUUGUGCAGCUCAAAGAAAAAAAUAUAUAAAUGUCAAUCGGGCCAGCUUAUUGAGUUUCCAGUUAGCUCUAUUUGAUUGUGGAUUAUUCGGGUUGAAUUUUAUCGGAUUAAAAAAUUUCAAUUCUAACCCUCUCGAGUUAUCGAUAUAUUAGGGUCAACCUACUGAAUUCAAGCUAAAUUGAUACCCCUCUUCUCAUUGCUUCUACAGUUUUAUUUUAAUUUUUAUAGAUAAUAAAGCAGUGGAACUUGAACUCAAAAAACUUUCCUUUUCACAUAACAGAUGUCCACCACUUAUUAUUUUCCAAGUUCUUUUCUAUCUUUUUGAGUUGAGGGACGAGGCACACCAAGCUUAUAAACAUACAAAUAAUACUACUGAAUUGCCAAGUUCGUUAAUACAAGGCUGGUGUCGUGAGAAACUUGUCUACAAUAUGAUCUUAUAUUAAGGGAAUCCAAUUCCAAGAUAUUGACAGCAGAGAAGCAACUCUCAACAUGACAAAUCAAGCAAUUUCCAAUUCAUGACGUGGUUGUGGGAUAUGAUCUUUCUAUCUUCUCUCACAAAAACGCUUCCCAUCUACGCGUCUUUCCCGUUGUCCUCGUCCAGUGGAUCGUAGGGGAGCUGAUGCCGAGGCUGGUUGUAUUUCUCGCGCAGCUGUUUAAUCGGGAUAAAAUCCCCGCCACCAUCCAUUCCAUAGAACAAGAAGGAAGCAUAAGGGUGUUCAAACCUAUCCUGGGCAGGCCCAAUCAUCAUCCUACUUGUUAACACAAGCACAACAGCUUAAGACAACCUUUGUAGUUUGAUAGAAAUAUGGUCUUACACUAACCGUGUCUUGUUGAUCUGGGGCCACUAAGUUCUCCUCGGCAACUGCAAGAGAAUCACGGUUACAAAUAAGUCAGGAAAAGUAGAGUGUAUGAAUGAAUGAAUACGAUGAUCGAGGAGCAAUGCAAACUCGAGCACAACAUUAGUCUAUAAAUUGACGAAGAAAAGAAAGGGAUCUAUGGUUAGAAGUGAAGUAUUGAUAGAACUAACAGAAUAACUCCCAUCUACUAAUAAUGCUUACCGUAUGCCACUAAGAGGUUGGGGUCUUCUUGCAUGUCAACCAACACCUGCAAAAAACAAGAGAGGUUAAAUGAUAAGGAGAGAUUCCCAAUUUUGUUCUCUGGGUAAGGCUAAAGCCACAAAUAUCAAUUGGAAAUUUUGAUAAGAAAUCAAGAAAAAGAAUGUCAAAGUUAUGAUCAUAUUAGCACACCACAGAGCAAGACCGGUUUCUCUCUGUCUCUCUCUCUCUCUCUCUUUGGUGGGUGGGUUGGGGGAUAACCUGAUAGAAGGGUUGAUCUGGACCACGAGUCAACUUGUCAAUAUUUGCGCCAUCAAUCCAUGACUUCGAUUCACAGCAUGCCGGAUCCAUUCCACAAACAACAGCCCGAUAUCCUAUAAUACCAAAAUAAACUUAUAAGAGAUGAUAUAAACUACAUUAUGCAGCCUCAGGAUCCAUGUGAGAUAUUGCUGAAACAGAGUCCGUCUCUGCCCUAACCGACUUUGCAGGAUGUGUCAUUAAUGACUGCUUUUCUAUGAAACAACUAACCUAUCAUAAAUACGUUUGACUAGUCACUAACAACCCACAUCUUGUGUUUUAAUCUUCACUUAAGUCUUGUUCGUGGAUGAUUUACGGCAGAGUAUAUAAAGAAUUUGGACUAUAACAAGCACAACUACUUAAAUGUUAUGUUUAAAACGACACAUAAAUAGUGCAUAAUGAGGUAACAAAUUACCAAAUACUUUAUGCUUUACUUUUUGGCCCAAGCGGAAAGCGUAUUUUGCACUUUCAUAUGCUUGGGCUUUCGCAGAUGCAGCCAAAGAAUUUGCUUCGAGUUUGGAAAUUUCAUCUCGCAACUCAGCAGCCCGAUUGUAAUUCUCAUUCUCAACUGCAUUCUGCAGGUCUGCACUGCAAGAAGAAUAGUGGCUUUUAAGUUCCCAUAUAAAUCGAUUAUCAGGAAACGGAUAAUGGAUGGAAAACCCGAGCCAGCUAUACCAGAAAAAAGCUCAGAGCCUUACCGAAGUCUUAAUAUACUUAUAGCCAUAUCUUGAGCUUCACUCUUGGACGAUGAUCCUCUUCUGCUUUCUCGGAGUUUGAUAACCUCUGAUUCAACCUUCAAAUAAAUCCAUUAUAUAAGCAUGAUGAGAUCUUCACAAUUACCUUGAGGCCAACAGCACUGCAGUCUAUGAUAGAUUUUCACAAUAAGUUCCAAAAGCAACGAUAUCAAGAGAAUAAAAUGAGACUAAGAUCCCAAACUCUUCUCAAAAUGAAAGAAAUACUUUACACAAUGAUCAGAACAUAGAAAAAUAAUCUACUAAUUCAAACCUCAGUCAACUGGUUUCUCAGUUGCUGGGCAACUUCAUACUGCUCCAAAUUCAAAGCAUACUGCAAAACAAUCACAGAGAUAAUAAGCCAACUAACUUAUGUUCAAGACACGUAACACUAGCCAACAAGAUUAUAGCAUCUCAAACCUGUACACGGGUGGCCAAAUCGAGCUCAAAGAAAAACAUCAGAAUAUCCUCAUUGGCUCUCUCACUGUGCUCACAGCUCGCAUCCAAUUCUGAUCCCUUAUCAUUUCCUCUAAAUAGCCAUCCAGCUUGAACCCUCAAACCACUACGUUGGGACACCUUACAUGGUCCAGCAAAGGAAGUCCCUCUCCCACCGUAAGCACAGAGACACAACCUUGGAGCCCCAAGAACUAAAUACGCCUCCCUAACUUGGCUGGCACUUCUCCUUGACCAAUCACUUGAUCCACACAAAACACUGCUUCUAGAAGUCACCAAAGGGUUUAUCGAAUUUUGCACCAUUUUUUUAGCAGAAUAACCCUCCCAAAGUGUUCACUGCUUUUGAGUAAUGGAGAAAGGCAAGGCCUCACAGCUCCUCAAUGUAUCAAACCAUCGUUUCCUAUUUUCCUGGAAACAACCUAAUUCAAGCCAUUAACCGGAAAAUGUCACUAAAUCAAGCAAAAGAGUUCACACAGAAGACAACAAGUACUGCAACACAACGAGCUUCUUUAUAUACUAAUCAUUCAGAAACCUUCUCAAACACAGAGAGGCCUACUAAAAAUUAUCUCAAUUGAAGGAUACAAAAUCUCAGCCGCGGAUCAAUUUCAACUGCCAUUAUGGCAUCUCAAUCAAGAAACACUGGAGCAUCAAUUACUCCAAGGAGCCCACUAACCCCAUCAAGUUUAUUAUUGAAAAUUCAUCAGCGACUCUAAAAAUAAGUUACUGUUCGCCCAAAAAAAUACAAUAAGACAUAUACGGGUAGAAUAGAGGAAAAAACCUACAACAUACAAUCACAGAUGAAAUUGCUUCCAGAAACCAUGCACAAGAAGACAUCAUUCAUGAAUUGCAACAACAUAACACAAAAUUUUAUAAAGAAAAAGAUUAAUUGGUAAUACGUUAUGGUCCUAUUUCAAGCGUUGGAACUGGCACCUCGAGUGUGUGAAGAAUGUGUUUUUUCUUCGGUAGUUUGCCCUGCGAUUCGUAUCUCUCAGCUCUUUCCCUGAGUCACACAGUUUACUGGCCUUCAUUGAUUAACGGGAAAAGAAAAGAAAAAGAAUAUCUCAAAUAGAAAAGCAUAAAUAAUUACUACUCUCUGCAUCUCACUUUGACUUGAUUUUGUUUUUUGUUAUAUUCAAUUUGAUCUUUUUUUUUUUNUGAAUAAUCAUUUUUCCUUAUAAUAAAUACGAGCACACAUAUUUAUACACUUUUACUUUAUAAUUUUAUUUUUUUUAGAUAAUUAUAUCGAAGAGAAUUAAGCCAGGGCAAAUUCUUGAGUGCGACAGGUUUGAAAGUUUGCAUUUUUUCACAAUAAUAUUUACUUUUAUUCAUAAUAACUUUUACUUUUAGUUAUUUAAACUCAUUAAUACUUAUAUUCUUAACUAUUUGGUCAAGUAAUCAUUGUCGUAACAAAAAGUAAUUAUUAUUACAAUGAAAUGUAAUAUUUAUAAAGUAUUACAUUUAUUCACGAUAAGUGUUACUUUUAUUCAUGAGAACUUGUAUUAUUGCAUAAGUAUAUAUUUGUACAAAUAAAUUUAUAUCUUGUGCUUAUUAAAAGUAACCGAUCGCAUACUAUGCGACCGGCCGCAUUGAAGACCAACCUUUAGGCCAAUUGAGCAAAUGAGACGGGAUGGAGAGAAUAAAAUUUCUCGCAGCACCAAGACCGAUCCUCAAAAUUGUUGAAUCCCCCUCCCCCUAAUCGGAGUUGGUUUUUUUGCAAUUUUGCUUUUAAAAAAGUUCUCCUCCAAGUAGGCUUUGCUAGUUUGUUGUUAGGACUGGGAAUCGGGUCGGGAUCGGGUACCCUACCCGAAAAAAUCUGGUACCCGGUCCCGAUUAAGACGGAAAAUCGAUACCCGAUCCCGAACCCGAAAAAAAAUCGGGUACCCGAGUCGGGUAUUCGGGUACCCUAAUUACCCGGUCAAAAUUACAUGUUUCAGGUCAAACUGUGUAAAAUCGGGUAUUUCGGGUAUUAGGGUACCCGGUUUUCCUUAAUCGGGUAUUAGGGUACCCUAAUACCCGAAAAUACCCGAUUUUUUUAAAAAAAAAUUCGAAAAUGUAACCACUAAUUUCAUGCCCAAUUGAAAUUGAAAUUGAAAUUGAAAUUAAGGAAUUAAAAUUUAAUUAAAUUGAAAUUGAAAUUAAGGAAUUAAAAUUUAAUUAAAUAAUUUAAAUACAUUUAAUUAAAAAAUCGGGUAUUUCGGGUAUACCCGAUACCCGAUCGGGUAUACCCGAUACCCGAUUUUUAACUACCCUAAAUACCCGAACCCGACCCCGACCCCUAAUUUUUCGGGUAUAGGGUACCCGAUACCUGAUUUUUUCGGGUCGGGUAUCGGGUACCCGAUUACCCGAUCCCGAAAUUCCCACCCCUAUUUGUUGUAAUGAGAUUUGAACAAUUGGACUUUUCUUUCGGUAUAGAGUGGGAGAAGAAACAUUUAUUUAUAGUCUUAAUUUUCUAAAAAAAAUAAAUUGUGAUCGAGUAUUUAAUAAACUAUUUUGUUACUUCCCCAUAAAGGAAUCAUGAACUCUAACGAGUUAUUCAACCCCACCCCCUCCCAACGAAAGAAAACGAGGACAGCGCACCGAUGGCCAACAACAAAAAAAAACGAAGCAAAACUGGUUUUCAGAGUAAUUACUCCAAAUAGUUAAUGGCCGAUAAAAAGUAAAUCGGACGGAUCUUCUAGUUGCCAUUAAAUAUGAGGUAAAUAAUUACAAAAGAAUAUAUAUCUUCAAAAUUUUAAAUACAACAACUUCAAAAAACAAAAAAAUUAAAUACAACAACAACAAAAAAAAGUAAGAGCGCUUACAGAAUAUGCAAACUUAUCGAGACACCAAUCUGCUCACCAAAAAAGAAAAAU
This 36194-nucleotide long non-coding RNA is filed under the name Salvia miltiorrhiza (redroot sage). Its description in RNAcentral is "long non-coding RNA (SMIL_LNC006277)". The record is from RNAcentral. Lineage: Eukaryota; Viridiplantae; Streptophyta; Magnoliopsida; Lamiales; Lamiaceae.